GUUUAGUGUGUGUAUGCAAGAGCAGUUUCAAAAUUGGAACUUAACUUUGAAAAUUAACUAAAAGUAAAACCAGAGGUUAAAGGUUCCUAACGCCAGUGUUUUCCAAACGGCUUUGGUAGGACACCCAUCAAAAAAAUUUUGAGCCUGCAUCCCUGGUAUCAGUAUGACUAUAUAUGCUAAUAUGCUAAAUACGAAAAUAUUAUGAACGCUAUAAAACAAAUUUGAAGGAAUAAGAAAGAAAAACUUUUUGUUAGAAAUACCCAUUUUUGUGCUCACUAAGUGUUUAAGUGUUCAACUACUGACAGCCACUUCUCAUCACAGAAAAGGUCAUCAGGUUUGGAACACUAGCCUUUUAAAAAAGAAAAAAUAAGCAAAUAACUAAUGAACCUCUUUUUUAAAGUACUUUGGCAUUCGCUAAGUAAGCCUCAGGGUUUUCAGAAGAUAUUCAUGGCCACUGCACUGCGUAUUACAAAGCAUGGUGUCUACGUGGAGGAGCAGAGAGCCAAGUUGGAGUUCAAAUCCAAGGAAGCGUCCCUGACUCCAAAGCCAGUGCUGUUCUCUUUCCAGAGGGGAACCGGGAAGGCUAAUUAGCAAUCAGACCCAGACACUCAGGUUUAGAGCGUCACAGAACAGUGUUGAUGAGUAUCCUUGCCACCUCAGCCUUAUAUUGGACCCUAUUUUCAGAGGGUUCUUACUCUGGAAUGUCUUAAAGGAACCUCAGCCCUGACACGUCCUUGACUGAACAUAAGUUGGGUAAAGACCAUACAGGGAUUAGUUCUUGUGGUCUGAAGGCCAACAGUAGAGAAAGGAAGGUCUGUCUGAAGCACGUGCACCUUUAGGGUUUCCUCUUUACUCCCGAUGAUGGAGGGGUGGCCACUGGGCCCCUUCACUGGACCUGCCGUUUCUCUACCCCUUUUGUUUCCGGGAAGGAAGUAGACCUCUUCCUUCUCUAGGACAUGGUUUCACUGAUUUCCUCCCCUCUUGUAUCUCAUAAAUAUACUCAAUCUCUCCCAUAUUAACAAAAACAAAAACUCCUGAAAUUCUUUACUUUUAGUACCCUGUAAUUACCGUCCUGCUUCUUCAUCCUUUCAUUCAUAGCCAAGUUUCUCAAAAAAAAAAAAAAAAAAGACAUUGGCUGUUGUCUUUUUCUCACCUUCCGAUUUACCCUUCACCCCACUGCAGUGUGACUUCCACCUCAACAAGCUCUGAAUGAAACUGCUUGUGAUAAGGUCCCCAAUGACCCUGUAAUUGCCAGGGUGGAAAGAUAUGUCCCAGGCCUUGUUUCAUUGUGUUUGCUGACAACUGUUAGUAGCCCUUUUGUCUGUUGCAUCCCAGGGUUCCAGAGCACCCUUCCUGGUUCCUUCUCUUCCUCUCCUCAUUCCUUUCCUCCAUCCACAGCUUUCUUGUUUUCAUAAUGUAAUAUGCUCUUCUUGAAUGACUUGACUAUCUCCAUGGGUUCAGAUUUCAACUUUUGCUGAUUCCUUCCAAACCUCUAACCCAUCUCUUGAGCUGUAGACAUUACCGGUGUACUACUGGACAUCUCUCAGAAACCUAGAGUCAGUCCCUUCCCCAGUUCUCUUAACUAAGUGAUCAAAAGUCCUGUCAUUUCUACAUCUGAGUGUUUUUCCCAUCCCUCCCCUCUUUCUCAAUCUAUUUCUUGGGUGAAGUCCUCCUCAUUUCUCUCCUAAACAAUUCAUUUUCCUACCUAACAGUUCUCCAGAUCCACCACAACCUAUUCUCUACUUUAAAGUCCAAAUAAACAUUCUAAUUCUGAUUGUUACCCUGAUUUUAAAAUCCUUCAUACCACCUUCGUAUCCAAAAGGUACUUUACAAACUAUCUUAAAGUUUUGAUUUCUCUUCUUUCUUUAGAGCCAUGGCAAACUAUUUGUAGUCCCUCCACAUCCUCUAUAUUUACAUAGGAUGCCUGGCACCCUAGCUUGUCUUUCAAAAUCCAUCUCAAAUAAUGCCUCCCAAGGGAAGCUUACUCUGACCUCCCCAAGAAGUGUUUGGUCCUUCUGCUUUUAAAUAUCCCCAUGCCCCAGUCUGCACCCUAAUCAAGUAAAUCAGGAUCUCCUGGGGACCCAUCCAGGCAGCAGUAUUUUUUAAAGCUCUGUGAGGCCAUAGGUACCUGAAAAGAAGUUUCCAGGCUUUCUCAUGCAGAGUCUCAGAAACUAUUUUCUGUCUUCUUGUCUUAUACCUCAUUUUUCACAUCUCUUCAACUGAUGCUGGAGAGUAUCUGUUGGUUCUCACCUCCUCAUUCAACCCUGACCUAGGUUUUCCUAUUUCUCUUCGCUCCUGAUUUUGCAGACUCAGGAAAGACACAUUCCUAGCCUACUCUCAGUCCAGCCUACCAGAACCUCCAAGUCAGACUUCCAUUUGUCUAAGAGGGCAGUGGAGUCCAGGCACAGUCGGAGAGUCCUAAGGUGAUCUGAGAUCUCUGUACUCCAUGUUGUUGAGGGAACACACAUUCCACCUAGAAGAAUCUCAGUGAGGACCAAUGGUGAGGAGGCAUCCAUAGACUUUGCUGGGUGUCCAAAGGGUUUACAUUCAGAAACUGACCAUGUUCUUCAGCAAUGGCCACUCCAUACAUGCCCUGCUUCACCUCCCACUCUCCCCACAAGAUUCCCAUCAGCCUUUCAUGGUUUUGAGAAGGUGUAAGGUAAAAAACACAUGCCUCUGUUAAUAAAUACCAGGAGAACAGAGAUAGCAUGAUGAAGUUGUAAGAGAAAGUAUCAUCAGGAUUGGUGACUCUGCCACACCCCACAAUAAUAAUAUUGUCACCAGAUAACUGAAGAGUGUUCCACACAUUCUGUGAGGGAAGAGGAGCUUAAUUACAAUGAACGAGUAUCAAUAAAAUUACUGGUUGUUGAGAACAUUUAA
Long non-coding RNA from Equus quagga, 2880 nucleotides. RefSeq lists it as uncharacterized. NCBI's taxonomy places the organism in Eukaryota, Metazoa, Chordata, Mammalia, Perissodactyla, Equidae. The record is from RefSeq and is a predicted model, not a curated record. The transcript has 2 exons.